Molecule: long non-coding RNA, 1686 nt
Organism: Rhododendron vialii
Lineage: Eukaryota; Viridiplantae; Streptophyta; Magnoliopsida; Ericales; Ericaceae
Exons: 3
Source: RefSeq, a predicted model, not a curated record
AAGUUUGUCAAAACCUUGACUUGUACACAUUUGUAGUGGUUAGGACCUAGCGUUGCUUUAGUUUUGAAGUGUUUAUGGGAUACCUGCCUUGUGUACAAUACUGUCUCAUAGUUCUUAGCUGAUUUUUACUACUUUAGACAUACCAGUUUUGGAAUCAUACUGCAGAAGUUACGCUCUUUUGUUCUUAAGAAGAAGUUGUAGCUCUCUGCCAUGCUUUUGCCUUUUUCUUUUUUUCAUUUGGAGUAUAGUAGCAUAUUACUGCCCGGAAAAUGAUUCUUUAGUGUAUGUUGAUCCUUGCUUUUCUGUCUGAUCAGAUGAGAUACGGGCAACAAUUUGCGGCUUAAGAAGAUAUGGGCAACAAUUUCCUAUUUCCUUGUUGAACUAGCUUUUUAGACUAAUUUGAGUAUGAGGGCGAGCACCGAGUGAUUCAAAUUUCUGUUCAUUGUGAAGAUACGUUGCCUUAAAAAAUAACCACAAGAUUGGGGCCACUGGGCUCAGUAGGCUUGCUGUGCUUUUCCGGGCUCAUAUAAGUGAUUCAAAUGGUUCAUUCUUGUUCCGUAAAGUUUGUAAUGACCACAGUAAUGGGAUAGAGGUAUCAAGAUGAACAAAACAUGUUUUGCUUUAGUUUUGAAGUAUUUACUGCAUUCUGAUAACUGCUUUUGCUACUUCCCUUGGGGAUGCUUUAACAACUACUUCUGCCUUGUAUAGCAGUUUUAGAUAACAAACUUAUUGAAUUCCUAUCCGCCUUGGAAGAACAGAAGCUUUGUGGCUUCAUAGGACUUGGGUGGGGAGUUUGGAUUCUGCUUGAUGCUUAGUUGAAAACAAAGCAGUCAGAAAGUAACUAGAAGCUGAAAGUUACAUGGGCUUGAGAUGAAGCAUGUGGGAUGAACCCACUAGGGUGGCUCACGGGUUAAGGUUGUCACUUGUCCCAAAGACGAAAUGUAAGUUUGGCAGUCUUGUUCAACUGUUGCUAAAUUCACUUUUUCCAUGAUUCUAUGACGCUUGUGUGUUCUUCUUUAGGCCAUUAAGAACUUAAACAAAAAAAAACAGCAGGCAUUACUCAGUUUUACAGUAGGCGAGUUUGCAAAUCCUCAAAGCAAGGCUUUUGGUUGAAAUAGCCAGCUCAUUGUAUUCUCCUUUUUUCACGUUGAAAAACAUGACAGCAGCUGUCGGAGAAAAAUCAUCCGACCAACUUCAGAUUUGGCAGUCUUGUGUUCAACCUCUGCUGAUAAUGCCUUGGGUGCAAUCCUCUUACACUUGUGAGUUCCUUGGUACCAAACCCGGAACUAAACAAAAAAAAACAGCAGGCAUUAGUCGGUUUUGCAUUCAGAAGAAUAUUGGCAAAUGCUCAAGGUACGUCGCUUUUGCUUGAAAUGCAACUUAUCACCAACCACUGUAAUAAACAAUCAUGGAGGAAAUAAAUAAUCUGCACCUCUGAAUCAAUUGCUUGUUUACAAUCUGUGGGACACUUCUUUCACAGGUAUUGCUGAUGGAAUGAAUAUAAACAGUGAUAUUCUUCUUAUGAGUGUUCUUCAUUUUUCACUGACAUGACUAAUGUUUCCAUGAGCAUAUGCAGUAAUUGUAGAUAACUGAUGGACGGCUUACCUUCUUGCGAACUAAGAGACGGCUAAAAAUCUGCUAGAAACCCAAACGGCAUAUCCCUAAUCCCUCUAAAAUUUAGAACGC